AUGGAUGGUGUAAAAGAUCCUAUCAUCUGGAGGGUCAAAUGCAUGGUUGGGCGGGAGCGCCAAAUGGCUUUCUGCUUCAUGCAGAAGUUUCUUCAUCUGCAAAAGUUCGGUACCAAAGUGCCAAUUAUCUCAGCAUUCGCACUUGAUCAUGUGAGAGGAUCUGUUUUUGUUGAAGCUGAGAAGGCUUGUGACGUUACUGAGGCAUGCAAAGGAUUUUGCGAUGUUUAUGUAAACCGAACUAGUACUGUCCCAGUAGCUGAAGUUCGUAGCUUGCUAUCAACUCGUGCAAAACCAUUUGAAGUCUCUCCAGGUACAUGGGUGCGCAUGAAAAGUGGAAACUAUAAAGGAGAUCUAGCACAGGUUGUCAGUGCGGAUGAUGGGCGGAAAAAAGUGCUGAUAAAGCUUAUACCAAGAGUUGAUCUCCAUGCUAUUUCAAAAAAAUUCGGUGGUGCUAUUCCCCUAAAAGGUGCGGCAGUUCCUGCACCGCGACUAAUCAGCUCGCAGGAGCUAGAGUUCUUUGGACCUCAUAUCGAAAGUAAGCGUGAUCGUCAGACUGGUGAUGUUUUUGAAGUGCUUGAUGGUCUGAUGUUCAAAGAUGGUUUCCUGUAUAAGCGAGUUGCACUUAGUUCUUUGAUUUACUGGGGGAUACAACCAACGGAUACCGAGAUUCUCAAGUUCUCUUCUAGUCCAAGCAUUAAAAGUUCUGCCGAUGACAUGGAUUGGGUCUCUGGCAUCUAUGGUCAUAAUAAGAAAAGAAAUGUGCCCAGAGAACCGGAUAUGAAGAAAUCAGCAUCUUCUAAAGACAAAAGCUCCAAGGCAUCAAAUCUUAAAGGUUCCACUUCUACUGAAAACUGUGACGAUGAUGACGAUGAUGCUCAAUUCAACCUCCACGAUCUUGUAACCUUUGGCCGAAAAGAUUUUGGAGUGAUUAUUGCUGUUGAGAAAGAUGGUUUUAAGAUUUUAAAAGGUGGCCCUGAAGGAUCUGCUGUGACAGUUAGAAAGCAAGAUAUUAAGAAAGGAAUUGUAGACAAAAUGUUUACAGCUGUUGACCAUCAGAACAAGUCAAUAUCCAUGAAUGACACUGUUAAAGUUCUGGAAGGACCAGUUCAGGGCAAGCAAGGAGUUGUUAAACACUUGUAUAUGGGAAUACUUUUUAUAUAUGAUGAAAGCGAAAGUGAGAACAAUGGAUUUUUCUGUGCUCAGUGUGGGUCAUGUGAAAAUGUCAAGAAAAGGAGGGACGUGACAAAUUCGGACAACCCUGUUCCCAUGUUCUCGGAGUCAGCUUUCAUAUCAUCCGAGCAAAAUGAACAACGAAAUAAUGAAAGGCCUUACAGGGCACCCAGAGAACAACUCUUCCAAGUCGGAGAGGUGCUGCGUUUUCGAAGGGGUCCUUUGAAGGGUUAUCUCUGCCGUGUAGUUCGGAUAUUUAGAAAUGAUGUAACUGUUAAGCUAGAUUCUCUACUGAAGAUUGUUACAGUGCAAGCAGAGUUUCUCUCAGUCCCAACUAAAAGAGGGGAUAACUCGUCCAGUGCUCCAUCUGGUAACUUUGGAACUCAGGAUACACCAUUCACCGAAGCUGCUAAAACCUCAUGGGACAAUGGAUUUGCAUCUCUUGGCAGUGAUUCUUGGCAACCUUUUUCAAGUUCUGCGUUACCAGCCCAGAAUGCAGAUGGAGAAACAGAAGCUGAUCCCUGGUCUAAGAAACCAACAUCUUCUGCUGAUGGUGAUUCUGAUCCAUGGGGUAACAAAACAACAUCUGCAGCUGUUGAUAUGUGGAACAACAGCACUACACAAAAGGAAAGCUCCACUGACAAUGCCUGGGGUAAAGAAGCCGGAGGUGGUGGAUUUGAUGCUGGUGGCAGCUCUUGGGGUGGAGGAGCAGUCAACAAGGAUAGUGAAAAGAGUGGCAACUGGGGUGAGGCGUGCAAGCAGGUGGACAUGGCAACUGGUGGUGAUACAGAUCCUUGGGGCAGUAAGGUCAAAGAAGUAGUUACGAAAGAAGCAGAUAGCUGGGAGAAGUCAUCAUGGUCACCAGAGAAGAAGUUGGAGGGUGAUGGUCAAGGAUGGGGCCAACCUUUUGGCAAGUCAAACCAAGAUCAAGAAAAAGGCACAGUUCCGAAAGAUGCAGACAAGGGUGGGUCUUGGGAUACCGCUGUUGCUAUUUGUGUUGGCUCAGAUGAUAAUGAUGCCUGGGCUAAAUCUGCUGCUUUGCCUGUUGCUCAAGAUGAUGCUUGGGGGAAGUCAAAAGAGUCGGGCCAAAACAGUGGCUCUGGAGGUUGGGAUACUGUUGCUGUGGGCCAAGGACAAGAUGAAGCAUGGGGCAAUCCAAAAGAUUCAGGUGCCAAGUCUGAAGAAACAAAUAAUGGAAGUGGGAACUGGAACAAAGCUGGCUCAUCAGACCAAGUUGGUGGCAGUGAUUGGGGUAAACCGACUGGCGGUGCUGGUUCAUCAAGCUGGAACAAGGGAGAGGCAGCUGAGGGGGAUAAUCAGAAUAGCACCUGGAGCAGACCUGCUGGAAACUUUGAAGGUGGCCGUGGGUUCGGGCGAGGACGUGGGAGAGGCCGGGGCCGGGAAUCUUGGGAUUCUGGUGACAGAAAUGACGAAGAAAGCUGGAAGGGCUCAUGGCGUAAUGACAGUUCUGCAAAGCCCUCUUGGGGGUCUGAUACACAGGUAGGUAAUGAAGGUGGAGAUUCUGGUGGAUACCGUGGGAGGGGAAGAGGGAGGGGCCAAUAUGGAGGACGAGGGGGAGGAAGAGACAAUGGUUGGAGAAAUGGAGAUCGAGGUAGUUCUGAGUUUGGAAAGGAAAGGAGCAGUAGUGAUACACCAAACUGGGGAAGCAGUCAGCCUUGGAGUGCCAAUGAAGGCACCAAGCCAUGUGAUGAAAAUCAGACUCCCGCUUGGAACUCCUCGGAGGAUAAAAAACUGUCUGGAGGCGAGCAAGGUGAUCCUUGGGCGAGCAAGGUGACUGCCAAAGGCCAAGAACAACAAACUGAUGCUUGGUCAAGCAAGGCUGCAGGUGCUGAGAACAAUGAUGGCUGGAAUACGAAGGCGAAAGAGUCUUCCUGUACCACUGGGGCAAAAUGGGAGGAUGCUGCAUCAGGUGAAAAACAACAAGAUGAUCUGUGGUCAAACAAGACCAGCUCUACUACUAAAGAGCAAGAAACUGAUCCGUGGGCAAGCAAGGUGUCUUCUACUGCAGCAGAGGAAAAAGCUGACCCCUGGAGUACUAAAGGGGGCAAUGGGAAUGAUGGGGGUUGGAACAAUGCUGGCUCGUCUUCUUGGGGCAAACCAAGUUCCUCAAGUGGAGAUCAAGAACCUGCUUGGAACAAGCCAAAAUAUGGUGAUGAUAAUGCUGGAUAUGGUAGGGGUGGAUUUGGACGUGGGAAUCGUGGCAGAGGUAGGGGAAGGUUUGGGGACAGUGGAUCUUCAUGGAAUGGAGGAGGCAACACAAAUGAUGGAUCAGGUGGAGGAAGGUCUGAAGAUCAGUGGAACAGUAGGGAUUCCGAUGGUGGCAGAGGAAGGGGUAGAGGCCGCUUUGGUCGAGGUGAUCGCAAUCAAGGUAACAACUUUGGGUCAGGAGACGGGGAUGGUGGCAGUUGGGGCUCUGGCAGGGGAAACAGAGGCCGUGGUGGUGGUUACAGAAACAAUGGAAAUGACAACAAUGAGGGAAGGGCCUCCAGUCAAGACCGAGGUGGUGGCUGGUCUCACUCUUCGGCCUGGAAUGCUGAUAAAAAGGGAAGCACUGAAGAGGAUCAAUCUUUCUCAAAGGGCAAGUCCAGCUGGGGGAGUGGCAACAACGAUAGCUGGGGAGCUCCAAAACCAUCUGGUGGAGAUGAUCAGGCAGGAAAGAAGGAUGGAAACAACACCUGGAGUCAAAACAAGCCAUUUUCUGGCGAUGGGUCCUCUAUCCUGGGCCAGUGGGCUCCUGCUGGCGGCACCACCGCUGGUACUGGAGGAUCCGCAGGCGGAGGAGGAUCAUGGGGAAAGAGCAAUGAAGAUAGCUGGAAUUCUUCAAAAGGAACUGGAGGCUCAGAAGGUGGUUCGAAGAAGGAAGGAUCCUGGGACAAGGCCGAAGGGGGCGGGAGCCAAGGCGGCGGUGGCGGCAGUUCCUGGGACAAGGCGGCCAGUGGCGGAUGGGACAGCAACAAGGGCGGGGAUGCCGGCAAUGGUGGGGGCAGUGGGUGGUAA
This 4188-nucleotide ribosomal RNA is filed under the name Triticum aestivum (bread wheat). Its description in RNAcentral is "partial small subunit ribosomal RNA". Lineage: Eukaryota; Viridiplantae; Streptophyta; Magnoliopsida; Poales; Poaceae. The record is from RNAcentral.